RNAcentral lists this ribosomal RNA (253 nucleotides) under uncultured bacterium. RNAcentral describes it as "partial 16S ribosomal RNA". It matches the Rfam family "Bacterial small subunit ribosomal RNA", at positions 524 to 776 of the family's 1533-position model. The record is from RNAcentral.
UACAGAGGGUGCAAGCGUUGUUCGGAAUUAUUGGGCGUAAAGCGCGUGUAGGCGGUUUUGCAAGUCGGGUGUGAAAGCCCUCAGCUCAACUGAGGAAGUGCGCCCGAAACUGCAGAUCUUGAGUACGAAAGAGGGUCGCGGAAUUCCCGGUGUAGAGGUGAAAUUCGUAGAUAUCGGGAGGAACACCAGUGGCGAAGGCGGCGACCUGGGUCGAUACUGACGCUGAGGUGCGAAAGCGUGGGGAGCAAACAGG